Molecule: long non-coding RNA, 6427 nt
Organism: Caretta caretta (loggerhead turtle)
Lineage: Eukaryota; Metazoa; Chordata; Testudines; Cheloniidae
Source: RefSeq, a predicted model, not a curated record
UGCUGCAUCCACCUGAGAUUAUGAAGACCAGCAAUCCCUGGGAGACUGCAAAUCCACUCCACAGCCAGCUGCUGUUGGAGGAGAGCUGCAGCCUUGGAUACUGAAAAACGAAUCUCCUAGACUCGGCCAGUCCCAGCAAGCUGGAGCGCUGCAUCAGACUCUCCUGCAUGCUGUACCAGAAGAUGAAUCCAGCAAUGGGUGGGCUCAAGACUUAGUCUAUUACAAGAGCGAAGACGUACUGAAGAAAGAUGCAGAUGGCUCUCUCAAAGCAUCAAGGUCACUGUCGACUUCUACACAAAAGGGGAAAUGAGUGGCUUCCAGAUUCUUCAAUCCCCAUUUGUCAUACCCUUAAUGACUUAUGUUAUGUGUGUAUAAAACUGGAUACGUGUUUAUAAUUCUGGGGGUGGAGUGGUGAAGAGAAGGGUUUUACUUUAGAAUAAUUACUCCUGGGGGAAUUCUGCGCCAAAAAAUUAAAAAUUCAGCAUACAAUAUUUUCAAAUGCUGCAAAUUUUAUUUGUCAAAACACUAUAUAAUCAUGCCAGUUUCAAUUAUUUUGGUAACUUAUUUCAAAAUACCUGACAGCAAGUAUGUCUAGCAAUACAGACACAAAAAUUCCCCAGGAGUAAAGAGUUAAAGAAACCCCUACGACAACCCAGUUCCAGCUUCUCUUCCCCCUACCCCUCAGAGCCCAGCUGGGGGGUCUGACACUCACACCACCUAUUCCCCAGAGCCCAGCCGCAGGUCCCCCCUGGCCCAGCUACUCACAGCCCCUUCCCUCCAGAGUCCAGGGAUCCAGAAGAAGAAACAGCCUGAUACAGAGUCCCGGGCUAGCACGGCAUUUCCUGCAUGUCACCACCGCCUUCCUUCAGGGCAUGCUGGGAACUGCAGCUGCGGGGAACCCUCCAGUUCCCUUCCUCUGACCUUCUCUUCUAUUUGUGAGUUGGGCUCUGCCAGGUCCAGUGGCCCCUAAUGGCGGCCAACAGCUCUGCAACACAUUUCUUUGGGGAAAAAAGGGAAAUUCUGCGCACACAACAUUAAUUUCUGCAAAAUUCAGCAUUGUGCAGUGGCGCAGAAUUCCCCCAGGAGUAAAUAAUGGAACCCUGUAUAACACACCAUGAAAUUAUCUUGUCCAUCCUACUUCUGUGCAGAGCAAGUAGGUUGGGGAGCAGGGGGAAAUUGGACCAUUCAAAAUACCAUUGGGGGACAGACAAGACAGUCACUUAUGAAAAUUAUACUACAUUCAACAGUGCAGCUGUUCUUUUUCAACAAAGUGCCCUACUGUGAAAGGCAAAAUGUCUGAAUUAAUGUAGAUCAAGCCCCCCCCAACGAAAAAACAAGACAAGCACAAUGAGUUCAUGCUAACUGCAAGACAAUCCGUCACAGUACUUGAUUAAGUUGAGUUACUCUUCUAUAGUUACGAUGCACUGUGGCCAUAGGUUACCUUUUAUCUUUAAUUAUUUUUUGGCCAUGGAUGCCUUUGUAAUGCAUGGACACCAUUGUAAAUUCAAGAGAGAGUAUAUAUUUAAAAGAUUAACAAUAUUACUCUCUCUUACUACAGCAAGUAUGCAUAAUUACCAAACCAUACCAAAGCACUGCUGUCUCACUAAAGCAGAGACAAGGGGAUGAUGUGUUAGGAGUCUAGCACACAACUGUGUAUUCUCCAGUAUCAGAGGACACACAGCAGCUCCUGAAUGGAAUGCAAGUUGGAAAUCAACCUUUCCAGACUUCAUCUGAGUUUACAGGGCACGGGCACAUGACACCAAUAAUCACAGUGAGAGGGGAACAGUGCUCAGAGAAAAAUCAGUACUCUGACGUUUUGUGUGCUGAUUUCUUUUGCUGUAAUUUCCAUCUCCUAGAGCAGUGUUUCUCAACCUUUUAAUGCUGGCAACCCCGCUACUUGAAAAAAUUGAGACCCUCUACCCUAUCUUAGCUCGGCCUUUGGCUUCAGCCCCGCUGCCCAGGGUUGAAACAUGUGAACUGGCAGGAAGCAGGGCAAAAGCCAGACGCCCCGCAAACCUAUCUAAUGCUGACUGUUUGUAACCCCCCUAAACCCUCACUGCGACCUCCGCUAGGGUCACGAACCCCAGGUUGAAACGCUGUCUUAGGAAGCCACACUGGAGACAGCUUUCCUUCAGGAGCAAUUUGCUCUUCUAAAAAAAGAAUUCCAUUAUUAGUUAUCUGGGCUAGCCGCAUAUUACAAAAACCCCAGCCGACAUUCAGACUGUACAGUUGUGAGUUUGGGAAGAGAUUUUUAUCAGUUUGAUACCUCUCAUUGAAAGUCAAUGGGAAUUAGGCACCAAGCUGCCCUAUGCACUUUUGAAAAAAAAAAAAUCUCACCCUUAAAUAAACAGAAAAAUAAAAAUACUUCAGCACUACAAAAAAAUAAGUCCUUCAUAAAACACUAAUGACUCUUCCCAGGCCCACUGUGAGGUAGGUAUAAUACAGAUUUUACUGAUGAGAAAACUGAAGCACAGAGAGGUUAAGUGACUUAUCCUAGGUCAAAGAAGGAAUCUGUGGCAGAACUGGGGUCGGCACUCCUAAAUUCUGGUUCCCGGUCCUUUGCUCAAGCCAUGAUUUAUCUCCAAAUGAAGCAGCUGAAGCACCACUACUGGAGCUAUUUAAGAGGAGAUCAGUGGCACAAGAAGGCAUGUUGUAGGAGAAUAUACUGCAUGGUAUAUAGGAAGUUUAAGGUUCUGCUGUCAGAGAUCCCUUAAAUUACCAGAUCAAACGCAACCACCUUGUCUGCCCUCACUUCUUCCCCAUUACUUUAGUCACAGUCAUCAAUUUCCACAUAAUCUGUACGCUGAGUCUGCAAUGUCAUCUUCUAAAUCUCUCACUGCCAUUUGGAGGAUCAAUACCUUUGUUUCCUGGUAAGGUUUCUAAAUCUUCCACAAAACUAACGUUUAGUAUCCAUUUACUUUCAAAGCCAGCAAAGUCACAGACCUCCUUGACAGGGAAUCUGUUUCCUCAAUGAACAGAGUAUUAACACAAGCACAGAUAGUUUGCUGGAGAUUAUAGUAUUUCCAAAAGAGCCAAGAAGCUGUUGCCUACUCGUUCCCACUAGGAACAUCAGAGGAUGUGGUGCAAUUUCACACCUGGGGAACUCUCAUCCACUGGCUGAACUACAAGUUACAUUAUUAGAUAAGGAUAUUUUCGAAAGAGACACUAGCUGUCCAGAUAUGGUAUCCCUGCUAAGUAUGAGGGGGAAAUCCUUUUUCUUUCACUGAUGACACAAAUAUGUUCUUGAACCAGAAUUUAUACAAGGAAAUUUGUGUUUCUUCAAGCUUUAUGCUGAUUAUAGGAGUCAGCAAGUGGAUAUUCACAUCCCUGAAUGCUUGUGUAUUUCAGCAGAACUAUGUCAAUCAUUCCUCGGCUAGAUUCUAGCCCAGUGUUUUGGACACAUGCCUACAAGCGGCAAUGUAGAUAGACUAUUCAAAAUGAACUGGUUUAUUGUACAUGAUGUGCCCUUCUAUAAUUAUACGCUAAAAACGUUCUGAGUUAUUUGAACAGAGCAUCAGAGAACGGCACAUGUGACAACUUUGCUGAAAGCCUCAUUACAUUCUCCUAAUUCCUUGAUGGGAUUUUUCUAAUAUUAAGACCAGACAGUACUUGAUAAAAAGAACUCCUUUAUUUCCAUAUUCUUAUGGAAGAGUAGCACCUUCUCCAAUACUUUGAGGCCUGCGAUGAACACUCAUGAAGUGCGUACUGCAGCACAGCUUCUUAUGAAUCCAAAGUUCCUCGGUUAUAAUCUUCAUGCAGGAGGGUUGUGCACCACAGUGAAGUAUCUGUAGCUUCCUCCUUGGCAGGUCUUAUGCCAUAAAUUUCAGGGUGGCCCAGAACAUAUUUAGAAGUGAGCUUGGGUAAUAAUUCUCUAUUUUCCACCCAAUACAAAUGAACAGAAUGGCUCAGGCUUUCUAAAGUUUCCUUUGAUUCACCUUUAAGUAGAGACCAAGUUUAGAAAGGCUCAGCAAAGGUGUGAGUGUUUUUGAAAAAUUACAGUUGUCUGAAGACAGGAAGCUUCAUUCAAAACCUAGAGUGGCAGCUGACACGUCUACUAGAAUUUAUUUUUGCCUCAGUAGCAAUCAGUGUUUUUCUUGUUCAAACCAGUGUAUAAAAAUGACUUUUCCUAUUUGCUAUAAAUCGACUAGUGUGGAAGUACUGUGGUAACAUAGUACAACAUGGUUGCCUAUAUAACAUAGGUACUGUAUAUCCUGCUCUGAAUGCACUGGACCUGCAUUCCUAGUUGAUGCAACAGGAAUUUCCACACAGAAGAGUAUAUCUUGAACCUGAACUAAAAUGGGGGUAAAUCAUCAUAUGUAUGCAUCAUUUAUUGCCUAUAAUUCCAAGCUGCUCAAGAGAGAUGCUGUUUAAUACUUGCAAGGCUUUACAUGUGGCUUUUAUAUAAAAAAAGCUCUCUCAGAUUUUGAGAUAUAAUGGAAGAAUAUUUUUAAAAUUAAGAGAAUAUUGAGCUCUUAUAUAGCACUUUUCAUCAGUAGAUCUCAAAAUGCUUUACAAAGGAGAGCAGUAUCAUUAUCCCCAUUUAACAGAUGGAGAAACUGAGGCACAGAGUAGUGAAGUUACUUGCCCAAUUUCACCCACUAGGACAGUGGCAGAAGCAGGAAUAAAACCUAUAUCUUCUGAGCCCCAGUCCACUGUUCUUUCCACUAGGCCAGCCAAGUGUUUAAAACAGGGAACUAAAAGUCAGGAGGUCCUGGGCUAUUUUUUCCCCACCACUGUUAGUGACUGACUGUAACUUUGAAUAAGGUCACUUAAUUCCUGUGUCUUAGUUUUCCCCACAGUAAAAUGAGGGUAACAACAUUCAUUUAACUCACAAAGGGGUUGUGAAGCUUAAUUAGCAUUUAUUCAGCGCUUUGAGAUCCUCAAAUAAGAUGCGCUAGGGAAGGGCAACAUAAUUUCUUUAAGCAACAGACUCAAGUGAUGACAGCACUUUUCUCCCUCUCAGUCUCCUUUGACUGCUGGAGUUUUGAAGAACUUACUAUCAAGCCUCGCAAUUCUUUUUGUUCAGACUGCUGUCUGCAUUGUGGGAAAACCUCACUACUGUAUCCAUUAGGAUCAAAAUUCUAGUCAGCUUUGCAAACUUCUGACAAUCUGGUGAGGCAGAAAAGUGAUAGCAUCCUGGAAGACAUGAUACUUCAGUACAAUAUAAAACCCUGCCUUCCUUAAUCGCAGUCAUUAUAAACCUUUUAUGUCCUCCUCACAGAAGGGUUUUCCUGUAUUCAGUGUUUAAAGAAUUAAAUAGACCAGGAGACAAUUUGUCUUUAAAUUCUUAUUUGAAAAAGGAAAUCUAGCUUCUGUCUCCUCAUUUAAUUUUCUUAAUAAUUAAGAAAGGGUCCCUCCUGUCCACCCCUCCUGCAACAAUUUUAAGAAACACACCCCUGUAUUUAAGUUACGAUUUUUGCUUUGUACCAUGGUUUUGAGAAAAUUGGCAUGUAGCUACUUACAAAAUAUUGCAGUCUACUUUUUACUGACUAUCAACACUACCAAAAAAUCCCCCACGUCUGAAGGCCCAGGUACAAUGGAGUUAAACAAGGGCCUAAAACAGAUAAACCAUGGUUCUGUGUUGUAAAGUAGAUGGCACCUGUGUUGCACCUACAUACUUGAAUUAUGCUACAACAUUGGGACAGAUCAGAACUAUAACAAGGUUUAACCCAUACUCCCAAGCCAUGGAGAUAUCCCAUCUACACAGUAAAACUGAAGUGUUGUAACAAGGAUUCUCAACCUACAGGUUGUGGCUAGGUGCCAGAAGGUUGCAACCACCCUGCUCUAUCCAUACAGUUAGAGCAGGGGUUCUCAAACUGGGGGUCAGGACCCCUCAGGGGGUCGCAAGGUUAUUACAUGCGGGGGGUCAUGAGCUGUCAGCCUCCACCCCAAACCCUGCUUUGCCUCCAGCAUUUAUAAUGGUGUUAAAUAUAUAAAAAAGUAUUUUUAAUUUAUUAGGGGUGGUGUCAUAAAUAUAAAGGGAAGGGUAAACACCUUUAAAAUCCCUCCCUGGCUAGAGGAAAAUCCCUUUCACCUGUAAAGUGUUAAGAAGCUAGGAUAACCUCGCUGGCACAUGACCAAAAAUGACCAAUGAGGAGAUAAGAUACUUUCAAAGCCGGGGGGGAGAAACAAAGGUUCACUCUGUGUGUUGUUUUUGCCAGGACCAGAAAAGGAAUGGAGUCUUAGAACUUAGUAAGUAAUCUAGCUAGAUAUGCGUUAGAUUCUGUUUUGUUUAAACGGCUGAUAAAAUAAGCUGUGCUGAAUGGAAUGUAUAUUCCUGUUUGUAUUUUUUUUUUUGUAACUUAAGGUUUUGCCUAGAGGGAUUCUCUAUGUUUUGGAUCUGAUUACCCAGUAAGGUAUUUACCAUCCUGAUUUUACAGAGGUGAUUCUUUUACUUUUAAUUCAAUUAAAAUUCUUCUUUUAAGAA